CUCUUCUCGGCUCCUGGGGAAGACCGUACCCUUCCCCUACUUGCUCCGGCCAUCGCCAUGACCGGAGAAGCGAGCUAAGCCCGCGGUGGGGCCGUGCGGGUUCGGCUUCUCCCCGCGCCGCCACCGUCGCCUCCCACCGUUGGCCGGCGUAAGUGUCGGCUUACCUCGGUUGGCUGCACCUAGUUGCCGCCGGCGCUCCCGCCGUCGAAGGCCCCUGCCGGCCGGGGUGGAGUACGUUGAGCUCUCCAUCACCCCGUGCAGCUAGGGCAUCAUUGCCCGCCACCGC
Molecule: long non-coding RNA, 286 nt
Filed under: Ananas comosus (pineapple)
Lineage: Eukaryota; Viridiplantae; Streptophyta; Magnoliopsida; Poales; Bromeliaceae
Description: long non-coding RNA (ACOM_LNC026955)
Source: RNAcentral